Molecule: ribosomal RNA, 253 nt
Filed under: uncultured bacterium
Lineage: Bacteria
Description: partial 16S ribosomal RNA
Rfam family: Bacterial small subunit ribosomal RNA
Source: RNAcentral
UACGAAGGGGGCUAGCGUUGCUCGGAAUCACUGGGCGUAAAGGGCGCGUAGGCGGCCUGAUCAGUCGGGGGUGAAAGCCUGUGGCUCAACCACAGAAUGGCCUUCGAUACUGUCGGGCUUGAGACCGGAAGAGGUAAGUGGAACUGCGAGUGUAGAGGUGAAAUUCGUAGAUAUUCGCAAGAACACCAGUGGCGAAGGCGGCUUACUGGUCCGGAUCUGACGCUGAGGCGCGAAAGCGUGGGGAGCAAACAGG